AGCAGCCGCGGUAAUUCCAGCUCCAAUAGCGUAUAUUAAAGUUGUUGCAGUUAAAAAGCUCGUAGUUGAAUUUCGGGGUUAGUAGGUUGGUCAUGCCUCUGGUAUGUACUGGUCUCACUGAUUCCUCCUUCCUGAUGAGCCGUAAUGCCAUUAAUUUGGUGUUGCGGGGAAUUUGGACUGUUACUUUGAAAAAAUUAGAGUGUUUAAAAGCAAGCUAACGCUUGAAUACAUUAGCAUGAAAUAAUGAAAUAGGACGUUCGAUCCUAUUUUGUUGGUUUUCUAGGAUUGACGUAAUGAUUAAUAGGGAUAGUUGGGGGCAUUAGUAUUCAAUUGUCAGAGGUGAAAUUCUUGGGAUUUUUAUUGAAGACUAACUACUGCGAAAAGCAUUUUGCCAAGGGAUGUUUUCAUUAAUCAAGACGAAAGUUUAGGGGGAUCGAAAGACGAUCAGAUACCGUCGUAGUCUUAACCCAUAAAACUAUGCCCGACUA
Molecule: ribosomal RNA, 488 nt
Filed under: uncultured Glomus
Lineage: Eukaryota; Fungi; Glomeromycota; Glomeromycetes; Glomerales; Glomeraceae
Description: SSU rRNA
Rfam family: Eukaryotic small subunit ribosomal RNA
Source: RNAcentral